RNAcentral lists this long non-coding RNA (1361 nucleotides) under Homo sapiens (human). RNAcentral describes it as "HSALNT0370960". Lineage: Eukaryota; Metazoa; Chordata; Mammalia; Primates; Hominidae. The record is from RNAcentral.
CACCCACCUUGGCCUCCCAAAGUGCUAGGAUUACAGGCGUGAGCCACCGCGACCGGCCUUUUUUUUUUUUUUUUCUGAGACAGGAUCUCACUCUGUCCCACAGGCUUGAGGGCAGUAGCUCCAUCUUGGCUCACCGCAACCUCUGCCUCCUAGGUUCAAGCGAUUCUCCUGCCUCAGCCUCCUGAGUAGCUGGGACUACAGGUGCCCACCACUAUACCUGGCUAUUUUUUGUAUUUUUAGCAGAGAUGGGGUUUUGCCAUGUUGGCCGGGCUGGUCUCGAACUCCUGGCCUCAUGUGAUCUGCCUGUCUGGGCCUCCCAAAGUGCUGGGAUUACAGGUGUGAGCCACCGUGUCCAGCCGGGAUCACUGUCUUUAUUCUUCAUCCGUGUCUCCUGGGUGAUCAUUAAUUGGGCUCUCCCAGUGUGCUGGCCACUGUCUUUUCUGGGUUUGAUUGAUUGAGUCCUCACAUCAGCCUCAUGAAGUUAGGACCCAUUAUCCUCUGAGACACAGGGAGGAAAAUGGCUUGCCCAAGUUGACACAGUAAAUUUGGGUGGACAUCUGUCUUACCCUAAAACCUGUGCUCUUAACCCCUUGCUCUCUACUCUGUAUUCGGGGACCUAGAAAGAUGCUGAGGAAGGAGAGCGCAACUGGGGUACCAUUCUGAGGUGACUUUGGCAUCCGAGGGGUUUCUGUCAGAGCCCAGAUGCUGCUGUUGUGGAUGGUGGCAAAGGGAAACUGUAUCUGCUCCAGCAUUUUAUUAAGCAGCCACUGCUCGUAAGAGGCUCCUACUCCUCGAAUCUUAACCAAUUUUCUGUAAAACCCUUAUGGGGACAAUCUAGAUGAAAUUAAACCCUCCAUCUGCUUAGCCAGGGGCUUGGGGAGCCGCCACAUCCUCCAGGUUGCUGGGACAGAUGCAGCCCUCCCUGGACUUCAGUCAAAACAUUGCAUCUUGCUCCUCCUUUGUCCUCGCUGCCCUGUGAACCUCUUUCCCUGUCCCCGCCUGCUGUGAGAAUUCGCUCAUCCAAAAAUUAAUUGAAAUUACAAGGGCUCUACUGUUUGACCCAGCAAUUUCUCCACCAGCAAUUUCUCCCACAGAGAUUGUCGCAUUUGUGCCAAAUGACAGGUGAAUGAGGAUGUGUCUUGCUUGCAGCAUCGUUGGUUAUAGCAAAAGGCCACCUCAGUGUUUACCAGAAGGGGUCCACUGUAUGUGUGUAUUUAUCGGACAACUAUGGGCCAGGGAAUGUUCAUUCUAAACACUGCCUAGGCUGGGCGCGGUGGCUCACGUCUGCAAUCCCAGCACUUUGGGAGGCCGAGGCAGGGGGAUCACUUGAGGUCAGGAGUUCGAGACCAGCCUGACCAACA